Oncorhynchus tshawytscha (Chinook salmon) is the source of this 624-nucleotide long non-coding RNA. RefSeq lists it as uncharacterized. The transcript is spliced from 2 exons. The record is from RefSeq and is a predicted model, not a curated record. Lineage: Eukaryota; Metazoa; Chordata; Actinopteri; Salmoniformes; Salmonidae.
GGAUAAAUACACUGGCGAGAACAAGCGACACCUGGAGGGGGUGGAGACAAUCGCAGGAACAGACCUGGUCAAAUUAGGUUAAACUCAAACGUAUUGAAGCAAUUUCGAGGGGUAGCCCCGACCGGGAAUUGAAACACGAGUCCAGUCGACUGUCAAGACAACACCUUAACUGUUAUGCCAUAGGGUCCAAACCGCUUGAAGGGGUUGCUAGGUGUUGGAGUAAGGUCGCUAGGCUUCUCUAUACCAAGUCUCUCCCAUAUACCUGUGUCAAUGUUGGCUUCACAGGCAUCAUCCCACUUCUGACACCAGUGUAACAAUUUCAGGGGUAGCACAGACCAGGACUCAAACCCAGGUACAGCGAAUGUGAAGACAACACCUUAACCAUUACACGAAGACGUACGAACCUCUUGACGAGGUCGCUAGGUGCUGGGCAGUAGCGGUGCGUGAGUAAAAUCACUGGGGAAGCCAAGCCAGGAAAAAAAGCCACAUCUGUCCAGUGGAGUCCACAAAGCAUAUUGUGUAACAAACAGUUACUGAUUUCUCGAACUCUCUCUGUGUGUGUGUGUGUGUGUGUGUGUGUGUGUGUGUGUGUGUGUGUGUGUGUGUGUGUGUGUGUGUGUGUGU